This 308-nucleotide long non-coding RNA is filed under the name Lathyrus oleraceus (garden pea). RNAcentral describes it as "Pisum sativum (pea) long non-coding RNA (PSAT_LNC005706)". Lineage: Eukaryota; Viridiplantae; Streptophyta; Magnoliopsida; Fabales; Fabaceae. The record is from RNAcentral.
AACAUUACUUUAACCGCGAUCCUUACAUUCUAACCUUUAAAAGAUUUAGCCAGACAUGGUAACACAAACGAACAUAACGGUGUUAAUCAUGAUGAAAAGUUUGUUUUAGAAUGUGAGGCGUAGAGAGCGAGCAAAGUGCGAAAAAUAAAUAAAGUAAAAGAGAUGCGAAAAAUAAAUAAAGUAAAGCGAGUGCGGAAAGUAAAUAAAAUAAAGCGAGUGCGGAAAAUAAAUAAAAUAAAGCGAGUGCGGAAAAUAAAUAAAAUAAAGUGAGUGCGAAAAAUAAAUAAAAUAAAGCGAGUGCGGAAAAU